This 1148-nucleotide ribosomal RNA is filed under the name Escherichia coli. Its description in RNAcentral is "partial 23S ribosomal RNA". It matches the Rfam family "Bacterial large subunit ribosomal RNA", at positions 1 to 1191 of the family's 2925-position model. Lineage: Bacteria; Pseudomonadati; Pseudomonadota; Gammaproteobacteria; Enterobacterales; Enterobacteriaceae. The record is from RNAcentral.
GUUAAGCGACUAAGCGUACACGGUGGAUGCCCUGGCAGUCAGAGGCGAUGAAGGACGUGCUAAUCUGCGAUAAGCGUCGGUAAGGUGAUAUGAACCGUUAUAACCGGCGAUUUCCGAAUGGGGAAACCCAGUGUGUUUCGACACACUAUCAUUAACUGAAUCCAUAGGUUAAUGAGGCGAACCGGGGGAACUGAAACAUCUAAGUACCCCGAGGAAAAGAAAUCAACCGAGAUUCCCCCAGUAGCGGCGAGCGAACGGGGAGCAGCCCAGAGCCUGAAUCAGUGUGUGUGUUAGUGGAAGCGUCUGGAAAGGCGCGCGAUACAGGGUGACAGCCCCGUACACAAAAAUGCACAUGCUGUGAGCUCGAUGAGUAGGGCGGGACACGUGGUAUCCUGUCUGAAUAUGGGGGGACCAUCCUCCAAGGCUAAAUACUCCUGACUGACCGAUAGUGAACCAGUACCGUGAGGGAAAGGCGAAAAGAACCCCGGCGAGGGGAGUGAAAAAGAACCUGAAACCGUGUACGUACAAGCAGUGGGAGCACGCUUCGGCGUGUGACUGCGUACCUUUUGUAUAAUGGGUCAGCGACUUAUAUUCUGUAGCAAGGUUAACCGAAUAGGGGAGCCGAAGGGAAACCGAGUCUUAACUGGGCGUUAAGUUGCAGGGUAUAGACCCGAAACCCGGUGAUCUAGCCAUGGGCAGGUUGAAGGUUGGGUAACACUAACUGGAGGACCGAACCGACUAAUGUUGAAAAAUUAGCGGAUGACUUGUGGCUGGGGGUGAAAGGCCAAUCAAACCGGGAGAUAGCUGGUUCUCCCCGAAAGCUAUUUAGGUAGCGCCUCGUGAACUCAUCUCCGGGGGUAGAGCACUGUUUCGGCAAGGGGGUCAUCCCGACUUACCAACCCGAUGCAAACUGCGAAUACCGGAGAAUGUUAUCACGGGAGACACACGGCGGGUGCUAACGUCCGUCGUGAAGAGGGAAACAACCCAGACCGCCAGCUAAGGUCCCAAAGUCAUGGUUAAGUGGGAAACGAUGUGGGAAGGCCCAGACAGCCAGGAUGUUGGCUUAGAAGCAGCCAUCAUUUAAAGAAAGCGUAAUAGCUCACUGGUCGAGUCGGCCUGCGCGGAAGAUGUAACGGGGCUAAACCAUG